Molecule: RNA transcript, 3359 nt
Organism: Cannabis sativa
Lineage: Eukaryota; Viridiplantae; Streptophyta; Magnoliopsida; Rosales; Cannabaceae
Gene name: pentatricopeptide repeat-containing protein At1g71490
Exons: 6
Source: RefSeq, a predicted model, not a curated record
AAAACAGCCAAGAUUAACCCAAUUGCAAGGUCGGCAACGUCGUCAGUCAACACGUCGGGGGUGUUGGUAACCCUAAUCCCCUUUUGUUGGCAUUUUCUCAAAUCAAUUUUAUCUAAACCGACGCUGUAGGUGGACACAAUCUCCAACCCCGGGAAGGAAUCGAUGAGUUGGGCAUCGGCGCCGAUUUUGGUGUCUCCGACUACUGCUUUGACUGAAUUCAAGUUCUCAUUCUCUUUCAGGAAAUCCGCCAAUGAAGGAUAGGACCACAGUUUGAAGAGAUUAAAGCGCUUUUGUAGUUGUGUUUCGAGUCCAAUUUACAGGCACGUUGAAAUGUGCUACUCCUAACAUGAUGCAACAACAAGAAAUUAUCAAGCUCCAAUAGUUGUGGUGGAACAUUAGGCGAGUAUGGUGACAGGGUUCAAUUUACCGAGUACAUACUCAAAAACGUAGCUUUGUACCAAUUCCGUAAUGGGAUUCCCCUAACCACUGCUGCCGCGGCUAACUUUACUCGGGCCGAGCUCGCCACCGCUUUACGAAAGCGGUACCCUAGAACUAUCGUCAACCUUAGAUCGGAGAUUGGAGAGGAGGAAUUCCGUUUCACUUGUUUCGCUCACAACAGUAUAUGCAAUCUUCUUCAUUUCGUUUCAACCUUCGGAGCCUCUCUGUAUCUCACAUUCAAAAAUUUAUUCCUAGAAAGUGGAAAGGGACGAUUUCAAAUAGUGAUGUUUCUAUGAUAGAUUCUCUUCUUAUUGCCAUUAAGAACUUCACAAGCGAGGGCCAUUUAUCAAAAGCAUUUAAAGCUUUCUCUACUGUCCAAAAUCAUGUCUCUUCUUCUACUAGUUGUUCCAACAACAUUUUAUUAUUACGACCCAUUUCGUCUCUUAUUACAUCCUGCACCAAUCUUAAAUCACUUUCUGAAGGUAAACAACUUCAUGCUCACAUUAUUGUGUUGGGAUUUGAACAAUAUCCUAGCUUGGUUCCAAAGCUGGUCUCUUUUUACACAAGCUUUAACCUUCUUGUUGAUGCUCAUGUUUUUACUGAGAAUUCUAAGAUAUUGCAUCCUUUGCCUUGGAAUCUGCUCAUAUUUUCAUACGUUAAAAAUGGGCUAUUUGGUGAGGCUCUAUCUGCCUUCAAACAAAUGGUAAAUAGAGGGAUUAGACCAGAUAAUUUCACUUACCCGGCUGUGCUAAAGGCUUGUGGCGAAAAGAUGGACGUAGCUUUUGGAAGAGAGGCACACAUGUCCAUUGAGCAUUGCUCUUUGGAGUGGAGCUUGUUUGUGCACAACGCAUUGGUCGCCAUGUAUGGGAAGUUUGGGCUUAUAGACAUUGCUCGCCACUUGUUCGAUAAAAUGCCCGAGAGGGAUGCAGUAUCUUGGAAUUCAAUGAUCUCGAUUUAUGCCUCUAGGGGAAUGUGGAAUGAAGCAUUUGAAUUGUUUGAAAGCAUGUGGAUGGAGAGUAAUGAAGUAAAUGUCAUCACUUGGAACACCAUUGCUGGAGGGUGUGUGCGUACAGGAAAUUUCGUGGGAGCUCUUAAGUUGCUUUCUCAAAUCAGAUUUAGUGGUAAUCUUUCGGACUCAGUGGGGAUGAUUAUUGGCUUGAAUGCUUGUUCCCACUUGGGUGCCAUUAAGUUGGGGAAGGAAAUCCAUGGUUUUGCAGUUCGCAGUGGUAUUUAUGGGUUUGAAAAUUUAAAAAAUGCACUAAUUACUAUGUAUUCCAGGUGUGAGGACCUUAGGCAUGCAUAUACUAUGUUUCAAUUGAUAGAAGAUAAAAAUAUAAUUACUUGGAAUUCUAUGAUUUCUGGUUUUGCUCAUAUGGAUAGAGUUGAGGAAGCCUCAUUCUUAUUUAGAGAAAUGAUGCUGUCGGGAUUUGAACCAAAUUAUGUCACAAUUGCCAGCAUCCUACCUCUCUGUGCCCGAGUAGCAAAUCUCCAACAUGGAAAGGAGUUCCAUUGUUACAUUAUAAAGCGGAAAGAAUUUGGGAAUUAUUUGUUGUUGUGGAAUGCAAUUGUGGACAUGUAUGCAAGGUCGGGCAAGAUUUUCAAGGCUAAAAAAGUAUUUGAUUCUUUGACCAAGAGAGACAAAGUAACCUUUACUACUAUGAUGUCCGGUUAUGGGAUGCAGGGAGAGGGCCAAGCUGCUUUGAAGAUAUUUGAUGAGAUGACCAGACGUGGGAUCAAACCAGAUUAUGUAACCAUGGUUGCUAUUUUAUCAGCAUGUAGCCAUGCGGGUCUUGUGAUGCAAGGUAAAAUGCUAUUUGAGAAGAUGUCGAGUGUUUUUGAUAUAUGUCCCCGUUUGGAGCACUAUGCUUGCAUGGUUGAUCUUUAUGGGAGGGCUGGUCUAAUAAAGCAAGCAAAGGAGACUAUCACAAGGAUGCCACACAACUACAAGCCAACUGCUGCCAUGUGGGCCACUCUGAUUGGAGCUUGUCGAAUCCAUGGGAGUGUAGAAAUAGGGGAAUGGGCAGCCGAGAACCUACUGAAAAUGAGGACUGAGAAUUCAGGCUACUAUGUGUUAAUUGCAAAUAUGUAUGCUGCUGCCGGGAAUUGGAAAAAGCUAGCAGAGGUGAGGGUGUUCAUGAGAGAUUUGGGUGUGAGGAAAUCCCCUGGCUGUGCUUGGGUUGAUGUGGGCAAUGGAUUCUCUCCCUUUCUGGUUGGGGACACGUCAAAACCUGACAUUUACCUUGUAUCAGAUGGAUUGACCGAGUUAAUGAAAGAUGGUGGUUAUACUGCAGCCGAGGAUUUCAGUGCAGCCGAAGAUUUUUGUUGUGAGGCGUAGAUGAGACAAUAGGAAUGAGUGCAGACUUAAACAAGCAUUCAUGUUUGGAUAGCCCUUCAACAUGUAUCAGCUGUUGAAGACUUCCUUGGGGAUUUGAGGGGAUCAGUUAAAACAGUGAAAGCGCCAGUAACGGUGGGCUAGCUCACUUAAAUUGGUGCUGCAAGGAAGAUCCCAGACAGGGAGUAACUGUCAUGAUGUUCCAUGCUAGUGCUGGUGAUGCAUUCUUUGACUUUUUGAUUGUUUUUCCAAACGUUUUUACACAAGAAAGGCUAAAUUAUUUGAGCUGAAGGCUAUACGAGAAGUACAUACCAUCAUUUAUUUAGAUUCAUAUACACAGGUGGAUAUGAUAUUUGUUGUAAGAUAUAAAAGUGUAAGGCAAUCCGAUCAAUAUAGUGGUACAAAAUUAAUUAAAGAAAAAGUGAAAUCAAAAUUUUUGUUACAUAUAAGAGUGGGGGAAAUCCGAUCAAUAUAGUGAUACAAAAGCUUCCUACUUUCCUUUCCUUUGUUUUGUUUGUAUAUUUAUUAUAGGAUUAAUAAAACUUUUUGAGUCAAAGAAGCAUUAAUAAUUAGCUGAGAAUCUUUUCAA